RNAcentral lists this signal recognition particle RNA (262 nucleotides) under Candidatus Pullilachnospira stercoravium. RNAcentral describes it as "signal recognition particle sRNA large type". It matches the Rfam family "Bacterial large signal recognition particle RNA". From Rfam's summary of the family: The signal recognition particle (SRP) is a universally conserved ribonucleoprotein involved in the co-translational targeting of proteins to membranes. The record is from RNAcentral. Lineage: Bacteria; Bacillati; Bacillota; Clostridia; Lachnospirales; Lachnospiraceae.
CUGCGCAGCCGGGGAGAUAGCGGUGCCCUGUACCUGCAAUCCGCUACAGCAGGGGUGAUGCCAAUCUGAGGGCUUCUCUUUGCGAAGCUGCCUCCUAUAAGUGGCGUUGACGUCUGGGUCUUACGCAACAGGAAUCUGUGAACCGUGUCAGGGCAGGAAUGCAGCAGCACUAAGCAGAACCUUCUGUGUGCCGUAAGGGUGCCUGGGCUGAGUUAACUGUAGAGGUAACGUCUGUGGGAGAGCUUCAAAGGGCGGCGCACGG